GAUGAACGCUGGCGGCGUGCUUAACACAUGCAAGUCGAGCGGAAGGGCGAUGAGCUUGCUGGUCGCAUGUGAGGGGCGGGGGUGUGAAACACACGAGUAUCCCCCACCUAUAUGUCUGAGAACUCUACGGAACUGCGGAUAUAACACCGGAGAAUAUUUUGAACCGCGGGGUUCGAAAGAGAACGACGGUGUUGAGGGCUCGACUAGAGGGUUCGGCGCUGCAUUGGCUAGUUGGUACGGUAACGGCUUACCAAGGCUACCAUGCGUAGCCGACCUGAGAGGAUGAUCGGCCACACUGGAACUGAGACACGGACCAGACUCCUACGGGAGGCAGCAGUAGGGAAUCGUCGGCAAUGGGCGGAAGCCUGACGCAGCAACGCCGCGUGAGUGAUGAAGGCCUUCGGAUCGUAAAGCUCUGUUACGAGGGAAGAACCUAUGUGUACGUAAAUGGGCCGAUCUUGACGGUACCUAAUCAGGAAGCAACGGCUAACUACGUG
RNAcentral lists this ribosomal RNA (497 nucleotides) under uncultured bacterium. RNAcentral's name for it is "partial 16S ribosomal RNA". It matches the Rfam family "Bacterial small subunit ribosomal RNA", at positions 28 to 507 of the family's 1533-position model. The record is from RNAcentral.